This 419-nucleotide long non-coding RNA is filed under the name Gallus gallus (chicken). The record is from RNAcentral. Lineage: Eukaryota; Metazoa; Chordata; Aves; Galliformes; Phasianidae.
UGUAUAUCCAGUUUGUCUAGGGAUCAUUAGGAGGAAAAGAAGUGAAAGAAUGAUAAAGGUAGAUAAAAAUUCAGAUGAAGUGUGUGUUUAAAAGUGGAAAAGCAGAACAGGGGUGAGCAUAGCAUUUCAAACAUCUUUCACGUAUGAAUAAAUUUGAUGCAUCAGGACUGGAAGAAGUUUAUUUGGACAUGCUGCUUAUAAAAGGAAUCCAGUGUAUAUUAAAGAUUCAUACGUGCAUCCUGAUGAUGCUGGUGGCACUUCCUUCAAGUUCAAGAUCUGGACUCAGUUUGAUUGGCUUCCAGUGGAUAAAUUCCCACCCCCAGAGGAAAGAUGGAAAUUUUGGAGAAGAAUGAUUGAUUAUUGCCUGAGAGAUCUGGACUGCGUAAAUGAAUUAAAGAUGCAGUUCUGCAAUCUCUUUC